RNAcentral lists this non-coding RNA (27 nucleotides) under Homo sapiens (human). Lineage: Eukaryota; Metazoa; Chordata; Mammalia; Primates; Hominidae. The record is from RNAcentral.
UGGAUAGCGUCUAUAAUGGUUACGGUC